CAUGGUGAAUUCCUUUUUUGAUAUGUUGUUGAAUUCUACUGGGUAGAAUUUUGUUCAGAAUUUUUCCAUCUAAGUUCCUGAGGGAUAUAAAAAACCAAACCAAACCCACUGCCUUCGAGUUGAAUGCCACUCAUAGCAACCUUAUAGGACGGAGUAGAGUUUCCAAGGAAUGCCUGGUAGAUUCAAACUGCCGGGCUCUUGGUUCGCAGCUGUAGAGCUUAACAACUACUCCACCACUGUUUAUGGAUCUGUAAUUUUCUUUUUUUGAGGUGUCUUUACCUGGUGUCGGUAUCAGGGAUAUGGUGGGUUCAUAGAAUGAGUUUGGGAGUAUUCCGUCCUUCUCUAUGCUCUGAUAUACCUUUAGUAGUAGUGGUGUUAACUCUUCUCUGGAAGUUUGGUAGAACUCUGCAGUGAAGUUGUCCAGGCCAGGGCUUUUUUUUCUUGGGAGUUUUUAAAUCACUUUUUCAAUUUCCUCUUUGUUAGGGGUUUAUUUAGUUGUUCUACCUCUGUUUUUGUUAGUUUAAGUAGGUAGCGUGUUUCUAGGAAUUCAUCCAUUUCUUCUACGUUUUCAAAUUUGUUAGAGUGCAGUUUCUCAUAGUAAUCUGAUAGGAUUCCUUUAAUUUCAGUUGGGUGUGUUGUAAUAUCGCCCAUUUCAUUUCUUAUUCAGGUUAUUUGCUUCCUCUCCUGUUUUUCUUUUGUCAGUUUGGCCAACAGUUUAUCAAUUUUGUUGACUUUUUCAAAAAACCAGCUUUUGCGCUUGUUAAUUCUUUCGAUUGUUUUUCGGUUUUCUAUUUCAUUUAAUUCUGCUCUAAUUUUUAUUAAUUGUUUCCUUCUUGUGCCUGAGGGUGUCUUUAGUUGUUCUCUUUCUAUUUGUUCAAGUUGUAGGGAUACUUCUUUGAUUGUGGCCUUUUCUUCUUUUUGGAUGUGUGCAUUUAUUGAUAUAAAUUGACCUCUGAGCACCACUUUCGCUGUGUCCCAAAGGUUCUGAACGGAAGUGCUUUCAUUCUCAUUGGAUUCUAUGAAUUUCUUUAUUCCUUCCUUAAUGUCUUCUAUAAGCUGUUUGUUUUUGAUCAGGGUAUUGUUCAGUGUCCAAGUGUUUCAUUGCUUUUCCCUGCUUUUUCUAUUAUUGAUUUCUACUUUUACGACCUUAUGGUCCGAGAAGAUGCUUUGUAAUAUUUUAAUGUUUUGCAUUCUGCUAACGCUUGCUUUAUGAUCUAAUAUGUGAUCUAGUCUAGAGAAUGUUCCAUGUGCACUAGAAAAGAAACUAUACUUGGCUGCUGUUGGGUGGAGUGUUCUGUGUAUGUCUGUGAGGUCAAGUUGGUUGAUUGUGGCAGUUAAAUCUUCAUUGUCUUUAUUGAUCUUCUUUCUGGAUGUUCUGUCCUUCACUGAAAGUUGUGUGCUGAAGUCUCCUACUAUAAUUGUGGGGCUGUCUAUAUCAUUUUCAAAGCUGUUAAAGUUUGUUUUAUGUAUCUUGCAGUCCUGUCAUGGGUGCAAAAAUAUUUAUAUGGUUAUAUCCUCCUGGUAUAUUGUCUCUUUAAUUAUUAUAUUGUGUCUUUCCUUAUCCUUUGUGGUGGGUUUACCUGCAAAGUCUAUUUUGUCUUAAAUUAAUGUUACCCCUCCUGCUCUUUUUUCAUUGUUGUUUGCUUCAUAUAUUUUUUUUCGAUCCUUUGAAUUUUAGUUUUUGUCUCUAAGCCUAAGGUGUGUCUCUUUUAGGUAGUGUAUAGGUGGAUCGUGUUUUUUAAUCCAUUCUGCCGAACUCUGUCUCUUUGUUGGUGCAAUUAAUUCAUUUACAUUCAGUGUAAUUAUGGAUAGGUAUGAGUUUAGUGCUGUCAUUUUGAUGUCUUUUUGUGUGUGUUGUUAACAGUUUCUUUUUCCCACUUAAUUUUUUGUCCUGAGUACUUUGUCCUUAUAUAUUGCCUUUUCCUCUUGCUCUUUGUUCUUGAUUUUGUUUCUGCUAAGUCUUUUUUUUCUUGUAUUUUAUUUUCAUGAGUAGGAGUGUUAGUCUCUUUUGUGGUUACCUUAAUAUUUGCCCCUAUUUUUCUAAGUUUAAACCUAACUUUUAUUUCUUUAUAUUACCCUGUAUUUCUCUCCCUAUGUAAAAUCUAUGACUUCAUUUCUUAGUCCCUCUUUACUUUUUUAACAUUGUGUUCUUUUACAUGAUGACAUCGCUUUUUCCUUGCUUUGAGCAUUUCUUUAUCUUGAUUUAUUUUUGUGAUUUCCCUGUUUGGGUUGACUUCUGGUCGCUCUGUUCUCUGUUGUAGUCUCGGAUUAAUAUCUGAUAUUAUUGAUUUUGUAACCAGAAAACUCCCUUUAGUAUUUCUUGUAGUUUUGGUUUGGUUUUUACGAAUUCACUAAAUUUCUUUUUAUCUGGAAAUAUCCUAAAUUCAACUUCAUAUUUUAGAGACAGUUUUGCUGGAUAUAUGAUUCUUGGUUGGCAUUUUUUUUCCUUCAAUGCUUUAUAUAAUUCAUCCCAUUGCCUUCUUUCGUGCAUGGCUUCUGCCAGGUAGUCUGAGCUCAUUCUUUUUGACUCUCCUUUGUAGGUGACUUUUCAUUUACCCCUAGCCACUCUUAAAAUUCCCUCUUUAUAUUUGGUUUUGGAAAGUGUGAUUAUAAUAUGUCUUGGUGACUUUCUUUUAAAAUCUACCUUAUGUGGCGAUAGAUGAGCAUAUUGGAUAGAUAUUUUCUCAUCUUUCAGGAUAUCAGGGACAUUUUCUGCAAACAAAUCUUCAACAAUUCUCUCUCUAUUUUCUGUUAUCCCUCCCUGUUCUGGUACGCCUAUCAAUCAUAGGUUAUUUCUGUUUAUAAAGUCCCACAUAAUUUUUGGGAUUUCUUAAUUUUUAAAAAAUUCCUUUACCUGUUUUUUCUUCAAAUAUAUUGCUGCCAAGUUUUUUUAACCUUCAAUUGCAGCAAUAUUGGCUUCCACUUCCACAAUUCUGCUCCUCUGACUUUCUAUUGAUUUCUUUAAUUCUCUAAUUUUAUUGUUAAUCUUCUGCAUUUCUGAUUGCUCUCUCUCUAUGGAUGCUUUCAGCUUAUUAAAUUUUUCAUUAUGUUUUGGAAUAAACUUUUUAAUUUCUUUAAGUGCUUUAUCUGUGUUUUCCUUAGCUUCUUCUGCAUAUUGCCUGAUCUCCUUUCUGAUGUCUUAAAGAGCUCUGUAUCUUAAUCUUUUGUAUUCUGUAUUCGGCAAUUCCAGGAACACACCUUCAUCCAGCAGAUCCCUUAAUUCUUUGUUUUGAGAGCUUUUUGGAGUGACCAUGGUCUGCUUCUUAUGUGAUUUGACAUUGACUGUUGUCUCUGAGGCAUCUAUAAGUUAUUAUAUAAUUUUAUUUUAUGCCCUUACUGUAUCCUAGCGUCUUGCUUUCUUUUGUUUUGAUAUACCCGAAUAGGUUGCUUGAGUAAGCUGGCUUGAUUAUUUUCACUUUUGAAUCUCUAACGUGCUGUUACCAGAUGGCUAUUGCUGUUACCAGGUAUGUGAGCCUAGGAGUCCAUUCACUGUUCUUGUAUGGAUUCAGCUCAGGUGUCCAGGUAGUUGGUCAUCAAGUGUGUGGUACAGGCUCUGUCCUACAGUCUUAGAGGGGCAGGGGUGAUUGGUGUAGGUACAGGUAUCUGGGUGCAGCACUGUGUCACACUCUGAAUAAUGCAGAGAGCUGACAACUGUCCCCCAAGUGUCUGUGAGGAAACACAUCCCUGUUCCCUAAAGCACAGAGGUGGGUGGGUUCUGCAGAUGGACCAUGGGCACCCAAUGUUUUUGUUUGUAAGGUCUGGAAGGUGCCAGUUAUCUUUGCACCCCUGUCAUGGAUGGCGGUGUGAUGUGAGUGCAUCCACCAGUCCUUAGGCCCCUGAUGUGGGUAGGUGAGGACCCUGUUUAAUAGGCAAAGUGGUGCCAAACAUCAAACACCCAGCUCUGUACCACACACCUGAAACAGUUGCAAUCUGCCAACAAGGGCCUAUUCUCCUGAAAUAACCCCACACAGGUCCAUGCAGGGGAGAAAGGUAUUCAAAGCCCAAUGGCCGUUUAUACCUGGAUAGGAACUGCUUCUGUCCUUAGCUCCCCUGAUUGGUGGAUCUGGUAGGUUUUCUUUUCCACAAUUGUGAAUUUAUUCCUUCUCCAAGGCUGGGAGAAUGGCUUGGAGUGCUCAGCAGUGCCUACCUCAGGCCCAGAGAAAUUGACAGCCACUGAAGCUGGCUCGAGGGCAGAGGGUGUGGUAAAAUAUAUGGAAGUACUUAGCUUCUCAUAAGAAUGUUUUCUUGUCUGGUUCCAGUGGUGUGAGUAGGCUGUGAGGCUGACUGUUUCUCCCUAAGGAAGCUGCAGCUGAAUGCUACCAUGAGGUGGCCGAAGUCACUCCCAGGAAUGGUACUCAAGGGUUCCUGGCCAUUCAGGUCAGGCAACUCCUCACUGAUUCGGAACCAUUUCUCCCUUCCCAUGCCACUUAGUGCAUUUUCUAACUUUGUGUUUGAUGUUCAGUGCUCCAAGCUUGUCAUAAAUAUAAUCGUUUCACUUGUUUUUUCAGGUCUUUGUUGUAAGGGGCAUUACCAGAAGCGUCUGACUACUCUGUCAUCUUGGCCCCCUCCUACCAAUCUUUUCAUAAUUUUUUUAAAUUGUACUUUCAAUGUAAGUUUUUUACAGAGCAUUAAACAAUUAAUAUGCAUAUUGUUUUGUGACAUUGGUUGACAACCCCAUGACAUGUCAACACUCUCCCCUUUUCAACCUUGUGUUCCUCAUUACCAGCUUCCUUGUCCCUUUCUGCAUUCUCAUCUUUCUCCCUGGGCUGGUGUGCCCAUUUGGUUUUGUUUUGUUUUUUAGGGCCUAUCUAAUGUCUGGCUGAAGGGUGAACCUCAACCUGAGCUAUAAGUGUGUUGGGGGGCCAUAUGCUCUGGGUUUCUCCUCACCAUCAAUAUUAUCAGGGAAAUCUUUAACAACUGGGAAGGUGUUAAGUUCGUGUUAGGAGAUACAAGUUUUCAGAAAAUUCCAGUUUUCAUCUGGAAGCUCUAGUUUUAUUAUUGACAGUAACCAAUAUCAAUUGUUUUCCUUGAAAUGAAGGCUUAUCUCUUUUAUUUUCAAGAAAAUAUUUGCCCAACACCCAAGCCUGGUUUUCCGUCAGUCAUGCCUUAAAGUAAAAGGUGGAGUACCAGGAGAAUGCAGGUAGUUCAGCUUGCAACUCAAACUGUACCUGUGCUAUUUUCUCAAGACAACCAUCGUACUUAGUAUACUUCAGAUGUGCUUCAUGUGUACUUCUCAUUUCUCACACAGAAUAUUAAAAGAUCUCGUACUGGUUAAUUUUAGAUAUCAGUGGUUUGGCCUAAUACUAAGUCUAGUUGCUGUGCCAUAACUUAAUCUAAUUCAAAGUAAUAUAAUCACAUUCCAUAAAGUAAUCUAAUAUAAUGUAAUCCAUCAGGUGAAAGGAGAGUUCCUUAGGGUGUGGUCUGCCUGCAGGCUAUAAAUAGAUAUGUUGGCAGAAUUCACUGUCCCUCUCCACUCUGCACUCUUCCUGUCACCUGACCUAGGGAUCUUGGGAUGCAAGCCUGAAGAAAUCAGCAGUGUGCCAUUUGACCUAUGUGAUUUUGGACUUACUAGCUCCCACCCUGCCAUUAUGUGAGCCAAAACAUUGAAGUCAAUCCCUUUUUAUAUAUGUACUUGUAAUUCAUUGGCUCUGAUAUUUGUGAUUGGUUAAAUAAAAUGCUGCAUGUAAACUCCCUGGGUGGUGCAAACAGUGAAUGCUUUCACGGCAAACUGAAAGAUCAGAGGUUCAGGUACACCCAGAGGUGCCUUGGAAGACAGACCUGACAAUCUACUUCCAAAACAUCAGCCACUGAAAACCCUAUGGAACACAGCUCUACUCUGACACACAUGGGUUGUCAUGAGUUGGAUAUGACUUGACAGAAUAUGGAAAAAAGGAAAAAUCCUUAGAAAAGGAUUUUUUUAACCCUUAACAUGUACAGUGGCUGGUACACUUUAAGUGUUAACUAAAUAUUAGUAAAUAACCUUAUUAUCCUGGGGCUUUGCAUUACCUGGAACUCUUGGAGUCUUUCCCAGCAAGUGAUAGGGAGCAACAGUAGAGUUCAUUGAAAGCAGAAAAUAUAACUUCAUAAUUUCUUCUGAAUCAUUUCCAUACAGUCUUCACCAUUCCCGAGCAUGUUCAAUUAGCCCAAUGAUGUUGCCACCACAAGAUGGCAGUGCCUCUCUCUCCUCAGACUCACAUUGGUUUGAAAUCACCAUGUGUUUGUUUCAAAGGAAAGAUGGAGCUUGCCUCUGAUUGGCUAGGUAAGAAACCUGAGGCUAUUCCUGGGAGGUUGGAAGGAUUAGAGAAGAGGAUGUUUUGAGUGAGAAACUUGGCUGCAUUUCAGACCCAAGAGCUGCAUCUUCUUUGAGCCAAACAAGAAGGAAGAAUGGAGAAACUCUUUGGAAAGUCUGUGGUGAUUUUAUGGCUUCAACUGGCCAGGGUGAACAGCCAAGUAGAACAGAAUCCUGAGGCUCUGCACAUCCAGGAGGAUGAAAAUGUCACCAUGAACUGCAGCUAUAAAACUACUUUGGGCAACUUACAGUGGUAUAGACAAGAUCCAGAAACUGCUAGAGAUCCACCUAAUUUAUACACCUUCCAGGCAGAAAGAAGGAGAAAGUCGAUGGAGAAAUGGGUAUGUUUUAGCUGAGCCUAACAUUUUAAGAAGCUUUUCUUAAUAGCUUUAAUUUAUAUAUAUAUAUUUUACAUUUUAUUUUCUCUAAGAAGUUUUCCUCCCCUAAAAACAGUAGAAACUAGUAAAUAUACACUCAUUCUUGUGCAUCUGUUCAAGAGUCAGUCAAAGAAAUCCAAACCAAACCUGUUGCCAUCGAGUUGAUUCUGACUGAUAAAGUAACUGAACGAAAUUCAUAGAACUCUGCUUUUUCAAACUUGCAGUUUCUCCUUCAUUUCUCUGAUUAGCAGCUGUGUCCUUUACUACUGUGUGUGCUCCUUAAAUUAAAGGAAUACUAUCUGUGUUUCUCAUGCUGAAUCUUCAACGCCAAAGUAUCUUAGUCAUCAUUGUUGUUAGGUGCC
Non-coding RNA from Loxodonta africana (African savanna elephant), 7028 nucleotides. The record is from the annotation of a RefSeq genome assembly. NCBI's taxonomy places the organism in Eukaryota, Metazoa, Chordata, Mammalia, Proboscidea, Elephantidae.